Long non-coding RNA from Lolium perenne, 2523 nucleotides. RefSeq lists it as uncharacterized. Lineage: Eukaryota; Viridiplantae; Streptophyta; Magnoliopsida; Poales; Poaceae. The record is from RefSeq and is a predicted model, not a curated record.
UGUCCAAGUACCCAACCACCAGGAGAAGGGACCGACUUGCCCCUCGAGCCGGUUAUCUCCUUGUUCUCGAAUCGAAAGAGAGAAAAGGUUUCCGUCCCCUUCUUCCUCUCGCUCCUCCCCAUCUGCAAAUCGCAAAUCCUACCAGAAGCCGCCAUGUCCCGCGAUCCACAGCCCCUCCCCAAGCGCCAUAUCAAGCCUCUGCUGAUUCCUCCUCUGAAUUCUGCCUCGUUUCACCUUGCUUUCCUUCUUCCUCUCGCCCGGCAGAUCUGCCUGUCCAUCCAGUCUACCUGAAUCGAAACCGCCUGCAGAUCUUGCCGUGCCCGGCGAGCAACACCACCCGCCGAUCAGUUCGCCGCACCAAGGUGCCUUCUCGAUGUACCGCCGGCGAAUUCCUCGGAGGACGGCGCUUGACUUUGCCUCGUGCCCGCCCUGCCGGAGCUGAGCCGUAAAGCUUCGAUUUUUACGCAUGGGAUAUAAGCCUUCGAUCUAUCGCGUGGGCUGAUGGUGCGUUGACGAUUUCAGUAGCCGGAGACGACGCCCAGGCUGAAUAUUGCCAACUUUCUUCCUGUGAGGGGGGCUGGUCUGCGAGAUCUCGGCAACACAUGCCGCCUCAACUCGGUUCUGCAAUGCCUGGCCUACGCCGACCCGUUCGUGACCUACCUGCCAGAGCGAGAAGCACAAGUCCUCAUACAUAACAGGUGACUACUGUCUCUAAUGGAACGAGGCCCAUUGGAGAAGAUUGAACUUGCUUUGAUGAAACUACAGAGUUAGCAGAGUUUGCGAAGCAACAUGAGGAUUUUUUUACAGUAAAGGAGCUUUCCGUGGAAAAUAUUGCAGCUAUAACAAAUGUGGUGGAGCAGACAUACUUGCAGGCUACAGCAAAGGAGGUCUUUUGUGAGGACGCUGGUUAUAUUGCAAAUGCAGAGGAGCUGCUACCAGACCAACCCCCACUAUCCGGUUGGAUUACAUAAUGAUGACGAUGCAUAUCAUGGCUGUUACUGGUUGCACUAAAAUUUCACAAGAAAGGGAAUCACAGAAGAGCUAAAAGACGGAUCUACAUUUUCUGCUGGGAAUUAAAAUAAUUGCUGAAGAUCAGUGGGCAUCAGCAUCAGAAGCUGUUCUUAGUACGGACAAAUCGGAUUCUGGUGAGAACUCUCUGCUUGUUAUCCCAGAAAUAUGCAGGAACCUGGUAGACAUGGUUUUAGUUCCUAGCAGAAUAUGUAGUUUGUACUAGGAUGUAUGAAACACAAGUGCUUGACAGCUUGUUUGGUUUUCCCAUCCUGCAGCAUAUAAACGUGUGGUAUUGUAUAUAUGGGUUAGAGGUGUAGAUAGUGAUACAGUAUUCCAAUGACACGAUCUUUUUAGUGGAAGUUAAUUAUGUGAUGAUAUAACUGCCUCAGCCAGCUGCAAGUAUGGUGCCAUUACUAGUAUUUAGUCAUGAUCUUACUGCAAAGCCAAUAUCACCAAACUGACUACAAGAAUCAUGGAUAUUUCUUACGUAGCAAUUUUUAUAUAUUAUGUAAAAGUAAUUUUUGUUAUCUAAUAAGGCAAGUAAGAUCAGAUAUAGCAAAUUCAGCAGUACAAGAAUCAUUUCCAUGAAUUAUGAUUAAAUCCAAGAAUCACUUUGCAUUAAAUUCCAACAGAAUUGAUCUCGGAUUCACCAAUAGUGGAACCCAGAAAGAAUUAAUUGCUCGUCAACCGAGAAAGAACAACUGCAGGUUCAGGCCGACCAAGAUUUUAGAAUUAUUCGCUGGUCAACCGACAGACCCAAGGAAAACCGUUUGCAGAACCAAUCGCAGAUCAUCUAUCACCAAGAAGUUUCGUGUUCCAAGGAAUCAAGAGACUAACCAAUCUAGCGGUGCUUAUCCAUCCAAGAGUUUUUACCGUUGCUAAAGCUGUACCAAGAAACGGUCCCGAAAAAACUGCGCGUCAUCCGCCACCCCUCCGGAAUCAUUUCUUGGCCUUCCUGCUCUUCUUUGCCGUCUCCGCCUCCAGCCGGGCCUUCUCUGCGGCUGCCUCGGCCGCCAGGCGAGCGGCCUUCAUGGCCGCCUGGUACACCAAGCAGUUGUGCUUGUGAUCCCUGAUGAAUUGGUCCUGGUAGUCGCCAGGCUUCAACCCGCACGGCAUACAGCUCCACUCCGGCAUUUCUGGACGCCGGCGGGUGAUCGACGAGCGCACGUGGUCCCCGGUCCCCUCCCCCGCGCUGCUCCCGGCCGGCCCUCGCCCUGAACCCUGUCGCCGAUGCUGCUGGUGCUCUCCCCUCUGUAGACGACGACGGUUACGGAAAGGUGAUCUGGAAAUUACGAUUUGAUUUGACAGGUUAGGAUGUCACUGUCAGGCAUGGAGCCGGGUUAUUAUAUGAUAUAAAAUGAUAAAUAAAACUUGUAAAGUCGGCUGUGGGACAAUCCUAUUAGCGGCUGUUUGGUGGGACCGGGCAUGUAAAGCUCAGGGUAAACAGAACAUCGGUAGCUGUUUUUUGCCUAUUUAUUGUGCGCAUCAAUGAAGUGGAAGUAGCUCGACUCA